This 253-nucleotide long non-coding RNA is filed under the name Physcomitrium patens. RNAcentral's name for it is "long non-coding RNA (PPAT_LNC012398)". Lineage: Eukaryota; Viridiplantae; Streptophyta; Bryopsida; Funariales; Funariaceae. The record is from RNAcentral.
GAAAGUCAAAAAGGAAGAGAGCAUAAGAAGAAGCACUAAGAUCAUGAGCCCUUACCAUUGACCUAACCCAUGAGUGUUUGUUUCACCAUUUACAACUUGGUUCUAGCACUAUCCCCCACUAUUGAUUAAAAAAACCCUAAUUGUGUGUGUGUGUGUGUGCACUUGUGGCUUACCUUCUUAUUGCAAAUCAUUGGCUUAGUCUGCCUUAAUUAGAAUCAUUGGCCCUCUUUGGACAAGGUAUGCAACUGCCACA